GAUGAACGCUGGCGGCGUGCUUAAUACAUGCAAGUCGAGCGAACAGACGAGGAGCUUGCUCCUCUGUCGUUAGCGGCGCACGGGUGAGUAACACGUGGAUAACCUCCUUAUAUUACUGGGAUAACUUCGGGAAACCGGCGCUAAUACCGGAGGAUAUAUUGAACCGCACGGUUCUAUAGUGAUAGUCGGUUUGGCUUUCACUUAUAGCUUGAUCCGCGCUGCAUUAGCUAGUUGGUUAGGUAACGGCUUACCAAGGCAACGAUGCGUAGCCGAUCUGAGAGGGUGAGCGGCCACACUAGAACUGAGGCACGGGCCAGACCCCUACGAGAGGCAGCAGUAGGGAAUCUUGCGCAAUGGGCGAAAACCGGACGGUGCAACGCCGCGUGAGUGAUGGAGGUCUCCGGAGCGUAAAACUCUGUUAGUGGGGAAGAACAAAUGUGUAAGUAACUAUGCACGUCUUGACGGUACCUAGACAGAAAGCCACGGCUAACUACGUG
RNAcentral lists this ribosomal RNA (497 nucleotides) under uncultured bacterium. RNAcentral describes it as "partial 16S ribosomal RNA". It matches the Rfam family "Bacterial small subunit ribosomal RNA", at positions 28 to 507 of the family's 1533-position model. The record is from RNAcentral.